AGUAGAGUGGCGCACGGGUGAGUAACGCGUAAAUAAUCUACCCCUGUGUUCGGGAUAACCGAUCGAAAGGUCGGCUAAUACCGGAUACAUCUCUGAGUCGCGAGACUUUGAGGGAAAGGUGGCCUCUGAUGUAAGCUACCGCAUAGGGACGAGUUUGCGUACCAUUAGCUUGUUGGUGGGGUAAAGGCCUACCAAGGCGACGAUGGUUAACGGGUCUGAGAGGAUGAUCCGUCACACUGGCACUGGAACACGGGCCAGACUCCUACGGGAGGCAGCAGUGAGGAAUAUUGCGCAAUGGGGGAAACCCUGACGCAGCGACGCCGCGUGGGUGAGGAAGGCUUUCGGGUCGUAAAGCCCUGUCAGGUGGGAAGAAAUGUUUAGCGGUUAAUACCCGUUAAGUUUGACGGUACCACCAAAGGAAGCACCGGCUAACUCCGUGCCAGCAGCCGCGGUAAUACGGAGGGUGCGAGCGUUGUUCGGAAUUACUGGGCGUAAAGGGCGCGUAAGC
Molecule: ribosomal RNA, 508 nt
Filed under: uncultured bacterium
Lineage: Bacteria
Description: bacterial SSU rRNA
Rfam family: Bacterial small subunit ribosomal RNA
Source: RNAcentral